RNAcentral lists this long non-coding RNA (533 nucleotides) under Ananas comosus (pineapple). RNAcentral describes it as "long non-coding RNA (ACOM_LNC040708)". Lineage: Eukaryota; Viridiplantae; Streptophyta; Magnoliopsida; Poales; Bromeliaceae. The record is from RNAcentral.
ACGAUCUGUCGCAAGUACCAAGUCCUCAUGUCUAAUAACAUGGAAUGUGUCAAGUAUCUCAAUGGCCUAUCCCUAUGUCAUCAUGUCUCUAACAUAGAAUAUAGCAGAUAUGUAGUGGCCUAUCAAUAUGUCUCUACGUUGCAGUUUCAUAGUUUACUAGUUUCAAGUGCCCCUUGAUGACACUCUUGUUCUCUAUGUCAAAGCAUGGCAACUAUGUUCCAAGGUACAUAUUCCAAGUCAUAAUCCUCAUAAGAGAUGUAUUUUUCACUUGCAAAAUAAACACUUUUCUCGUAUGCAUGCAUUCUACUCACAUAGCUCUACUAUAUAGCGAAAUUUUCAUAAUACACAAGGUAUGCAUUUUAAGUGUUCUAAAAUUCAUAUAAAUUCCAUUUAGUAUAGAAAUGAAUUUAAAAAUAUUUUAUAACAAGUAGAAAGAGCAUAGGGGCCAUUUCGCCCCAUCUCCAUGAAGCCAAACCCACCGAUGACAACGAAACUCCUCGUUCGCUCCCACGAGGGUGUCCUCUAGUCUCCGA